RNAcentral lists this ribosomal RNA (435 nucleotides) under uncultured bacterium. Its description in RNAcentral is "partial 16S ribosomal RNA". It matches the Rfam family "Bacterial small subunit ribosomal RNA", at positions 29 to 507 of the family's 1533-position model. The record is from RNAcentral.
AACGAACGCUGGCGGCAGGCUUAACACAUGCAAGUCGAACGCGUGCAGCAAUGCACGAGUGGCGCACGGGUGAGUAACGCGUGGAUAUCUGCCUUUUGGUUCGGAAUAACCCCGGGAAACUGGGGCUAAUACCGGAUGGUUCCUACGGGAUAAAGAUUUAUCGCCAAAAGAUGAGUCCGCGUCCGAUUAGCUAGUUGGUUAGGUAAUGGCUCACCAAGGCGACGAUCGGUAGCUGGUCUGAGAGGACGAUCAGCCACACUGGGACUGAGACACGGCCCAGACUACUACGGGAGGCAGCAGUGGGGAAUAUUGGACAAUGGGGGCAACCAUGAUCCAGCCAUGCCGCGUGAGUGAUGAAGGCCUUCGAGAUGUAAAGCUCUUUUGGAGGGGACGAUGAUGACGGUACCCGAAGAAUAAGCCCCGGCUAACUUCGUG